RNAcentral lists this ribosomal RNA (459 nucleotides) under uncultured bacterium. Its description in RNAcentral is "partial 16S ribosomal RNA". It matches the Rfam family "Bacterial small subunit ribosomal RNA", at positions 338 to 795 of the family's 1533-position model. The record is from RNAcentral.
CCUACGGGAGGCAGCAGUGAGGAAUAUUGGUCAAUGGGAGCGAUCCUGAACCAGCCAAGCCGCGUGAAGGAUGACGGCCCUAUGGGUUGUAAACCUCUUUUGUCGGGGAACAAAAUCCGGCACGUGUGCCUUACUGCAGGUAUCCCAUGAAAAAGGAUCGGCUAACUCCGUGCCAGCAGCCGCGGUAAUACGGAGGAUCCGCGCGUUAUCCGGAUUUAUUGGGUUUAAAGGGAGCGUAGGCGGUCCGUUAAGUCAGUGGUAAAAUGCCGGGGCUCAACCUCGUAGAGCCGUUGAAACUGGGAGACUUGAGUUGGCGAGAGGUAGGCGGAAUUCGCGGUGUAGCGGUGAAAUGCAUAGAUAUCGCGAAGAACUCCGAUUGCGAAGGCAGCGUACCGGAGCCAGACUGACGCUGAGGCACGAAGGCGUGGGGAUCGAACAGGAUUAGAUACCCUUGUAGUC